AAAUCUCGUCGGCAUAUGUGCAAAUGGGAUAUGUUGCCUCUUCGAAAUUUUCAUAGAAAUUAAAACUGCGCUGUCAAACUGCUGAAGUGACAGCUUAUUGCUUACAACAAAUGGCAAACUAAUUAGUUUACCAUAUAUUGUAAGCAAUAAGCAAUAUGGAGUCUCCACAGGCAAUAGGCACGGCAAUACAGUUAGUAAGACAUAGAUUUUAUCCUGUCGAGAUGCCCCGUAAAGACAUAUUACGUUGUUAAAUUGUUGAGGAAGGUAACCGUGCGAUUCUGUAACUUGAGACAGUCUCAAGUCUCUAAAUUUGAGAUUUUAAGUUAGAGACAAUUUUUGAGACUUGAGAUGAUAUUGCUAUUCUGUAAGUGACAGUCACAAAAUCUAUUACAUUUCAUUAAUCAGAGAUGUUUUUACACUUGAAUCAAAAUAAAUAUGCCGAUAACAAAUAUUAAAUUUCCUAUAACAUAGUCAAAAAACAUAAUUAUCAAUAAAAAUAAAAAUAUAUGUUGACUUUGUUUCAUAAUAUUUACGAAAAUUAUGUAAAAUUGAUUUAUUUUUCAUCUUUUCGUGUUUGAGUUGCUUACAAAAUAUAAAGAAACGACAAUCAAUUAAUAUCUAUGAUGAUCUCUAUUCAGUAUAUUCAAAAUGGCAGACAAGAGCUCUUUUUAGUUUGUGACUUGCUAACUACCAGGUCUCAAUAUUUUGAGAUUAACGCUAGAGACUGUUUAGUGAAUAGUAACUAGUCUCAAAUUGAGACUUUGUCUCAAAAUGCCUCAAAUAGAGACUAGAGACUGGUUACAGAAUCCCGCUAUAAGUUUUAAAUAGAUUUUAUAACUUCUAUUUAAAUUAUAAAGAUUUGUUACAGUUUUUUUUUGUUAAAAAUGUAUGCAGAAGGUGCGCCAAUUCACAAUAGCCAUGCAUAAUAGUCAUUCACAAUAAAUUGACCGAAUCAGCCGUUCAUAUAUCACUAGAUUCUGCAAUGGGUGUUUUUGGUAAACAAAUGAGAUUCAAACGAGUGUAAAAUGUAAUUUUUAAAAUAAAGAUUUUUUAGGUAAAAAACCUGCUAAAAGAGUAAAAUGUGGAUUUAAUUAAAAGAUUAUAGUAUAAUUUAAUUAAUUUGAAGAGAAAAACGUUAAUAAUGUGUGUUUAAUGUGAAAAUGUUCGAAUUUUGCGAAUUUUUGAACGUUAAGGUCGAAUAUCUCGUAAACUAACCGCUUGCGGUACCUAUAACCCCAUAUAUUUUUUUAAUCAGGAGGACUUCCUCUUUCCAACGGUACCUUCAAAUCGCGGCGUCAAAGAAAUCGGAAUUGUGCCAAAACCCUAUUGGGACAUCCCCUUUCGUUCACACAUCGCGUGUGCAUACAUACAAACGUGUUUUUAAUUUGGAAAAUUACAGCCCUAUUCUGAAAAAAACCUCUCAACUUAGUUCAGAGGAAAAAUUUGAGAGAUUUCUUGUGAGGCAUAUUUUGUGAAGCUAUUCUUGUUCAAAUCUCAUUAGAAUAAAGCUUAAAAAAGUCACCACGUGAGGUAAAAAGUUUUUUCAAUAAAAAUAAGCAAACAAAAUGGAUAAUCAAGAUAUGUAAGUAAUUUUGCUUUGCAAAUUUUAAAAUGUAACUCAACCUCAAGGGCUGCAAAUACUUUGGUCGGAGUUAGCAGAUACCUUAAAUGCCUUAAGAGGUCCAACUCGGUCGGCAGCCAAGUGGAGGGAGUCCUUGAUGCAUUGGAAACAUCAGUUGCGAUCGCGAGCACGCAAACUUAAGGCACAUGCGCAAGCGACUGGUGGAGGCCCUCCGAUAAAAGGAAUAACGGAGUUCGAGGAGCAAGCCAUUACAACCUUUGGUGCAGCAGCGGUGGAUAGAUUGCGGGGUGUUGGGGCUUUGGGUCACCAGAUUUUGCCGCAGUUGCAUUUAAAUACAUAACCAGUCCCCGCUCAAGCUCCAGCUUCCUCCCCAACAGUCACAUCGCUUGCUCCAACUUCCUCACCAACAGUCACAUCACCUGCUCCAGCUUUUCCUGCUUUCUCAAUAAAUUUUUCUUCCUCACCAUCACCUCCAGAUUUGUCCUCUUCUUCCUUAUCUCCUCCCAUCUUACCUUCUCCUAUGCCAUCGCCUUCUUACAUCCCUUCUAAAGGUAUAUUGACUGCAGCGAAGAUGCUUGGAGCAGGGCUAAAAAAAUGGAGGACCGUGAAAAGCCAGAGGAGGAGGCCAUUGGUAUACAAAAGAAAAUUGUAGAGCAAAACGAGCAGAUGACGGGGGUGCUGAACCAACUAUCACAAGCACUAAGCUCGAUGUCAGAGGUUACGAUUAAAUUGUGCGAAAAAUUAAAUAAAUAAUAACAAAAAUAAAAUACAUAUAUGUACUGAAUUAUUUAAACAUAUGUAGAUGUCUUUUUAUUCAUACUUAGAGGAAGUCAAAUGUACAGAGAGAGUAAGUAACUUACAUAUAUGUAUAUACUUAUAUUUACAGUACACUGGAAAUAUAUCUUCUUCUUUACUGGCGUAGACACCGCUUACGCGCUUAUAGCCGAGUCAACAACAGCGCGCCAGUCGUUUCUUCUCUUCGCUACGUGGCGCCAAUUGGAUAUUCCAAGCGAAGCCAGGUCCUUCUCCACUUGGUCCUUCCAACGGAGUGGAGGUCUUCCUCUUCCUCUGCUUCCCCCGGCGGGUACAGCGUCGAAUACUUUCAGAGCUGGAGUGUUUUCGUCCAUUCGGACAACAUGACCUAGCCAGCGUAGCCGCUGUCUUUUAAUUCGCUGAACUAUGUCAAUGUCGCCGUAUAUCUCGUACAGCUCAUCGUUCCAUCGAAUGCGAUAUUCGCCGUGGCCAACGCGCAAAGGACCAUAAAUCUUUCGCAGAACUUUUCUCUCGAAAACUCGCAACGUCGACUCAUCUGUUGUUGACAUCGUCCAGGCCUCUGCACCAUAUAGCAGGACGGGAAUUUUGAGUGACUUAUAGGAGGAUGGAGUCAUAUGUAGAAGUUCACGCAAGUGAGGAAAGUUCUCUGAUCGCCAUUCACUUGGGAGUGGCCAGAAACGAUUCUUUUACAUAUGACUCAAGCAGCUCACGACUUCCGGUCUUUGACCAAGUAUCCUCUGGGUAGCCUAAGAACAUCCGUUUGAAGGCGAGCUAACGUGAGAAGGCGAAAUAUCCCCUACAUAGGGUUGUGCGCUGGGUUUGGGACCCGCCACGUAAAAAAACAACCCCAGCGAAUAGCAACAACCAGCCUCGGAUGAGAGACCCCCCUUUUGAUGACUGGAAAUAUAUACAUAUGUAUAUUAUAAAGACAUGAUGUAACGUUCUCUUACUUUAGCACCCUCCCUAAAAUUGGGGUUUUCGAAAACAAUUUCGGUGUCUUGUGAUUCUUCUAAAACUUCUUCGAAGCCAAGGUCUGCAGCCACACCAUGCUUCAGUAAAAUGUUGUGAAGAAUUGCACACGCGUAAAUAAUAACAGACGCUUUUUCAGGGCUGUAAUGAAGAAUGCGGUGUUUUGAGAGGCACCGGAAUCGUGACUUCAAAACACCAAAGGCUCUCUCAAUGGUGUUACGUGCUUUGGCGUGCAAUUUAUUGUAACGCACUUCCCUUGCAUUUGAAGGUUCAGCGACUGGCGUGAACAGCCAUGGCGCCAUGGCUCCAAUCCUUGUUUACCUAGCAACCACGAAUCACUUUGCGUGUUAUAGGUACUUAUGAGGUGCAUACGUGUAGGGGAUGUGGGCCAAAUACCAGAAUCAUGGCAUGACCCGCGAUAUCUCGCGUUGACAGCGGUGAACAUAAGUCGAUGAUCACAAACCUGCCAAAAAUGCAAAUAUAUACAUACAUACAUAUGUAUUAACAGAAAGAUUGGCAAAUAGCUUGUAUAAUAUAGAACAUUACCUACUGCUUCUACAUUAAGGCUGUAAAAUCCUUUCCGGUUCAUGAAAAGUGAGAAAGGAGUAGUGGCGUCUGUGCUUGAGGGUGAAACAAUCCCAAUAUGGGUACAAUCGAUUGCGCCGAUUGUGCCCUUGAUCCCAAAUUUCGUGUAAAAUCUUUAAGAGAAAAUUUAUUUAUUUAUUUUUAUUUAUUUAUCUUACCCGUUGUUUGUAUUAAAACAUCCUGCGCGCUUGAAGAGAAAUAAAUUUCACUGCCCUUAAUAUCCACAAUUAAUUUCGAAAUAAAGUGCAGAGCUCAUGCAGAGAGAACCUCACUACAGUGAUGCUUCUCAUUAUAGAGAGGGUUACCUUAUGCUGGCGAAAAUUCAAAAGCUCAAAUGCUCACUAUUAUCACAAAUAUCUGUGACGUGUGAAAGAAGCCAUCAUAAUACAAAACAUCUGUGUUUGUUUUGUUUGACAUCAAUAUUUGACAUUUUUUAAAAAAUUGAGAAUUGAGUGUUAUAAUUAGCGUGCAGGAACUAUUCUUGUAUAUGCGGCAAUUUUUGAGGAGGAGGAAUCGGGGGAUAGGAGGAAAAUUUUGAAGGGUUUACGAGACAAAAGCGAUCCUUUUACUAUGCAAGACACAACAUUUAUUAAUACAUUUCGAUUCCCAAAAUCGCUAUGUAAAUUACUUAUAAGUGAAUCGGUGCCGUAUGAUGUACAGAAGUCGAAUAUAUUUUGUGAUCUACGUUUCUUAGCGUGUUUGUCUUUUUACGGGUAUGGCUCUUAUCAAAAAUGCGUUGGUAAUAGUUAUAUGCUCUCUAUGAGCAGCCCUUGAGGGUUGGUCGUAGUUAGCUUCCCCCGUUGAAACUCAGGAUGCUGCUUGCAAAACAAUAUGUAAUGUUGCAGCUGCUCCUGAGCUAUCCUUUCCGUUUUUGUAAGCCUAGGAAUAUAUGAAAUUAUUGUUUAUAUAUAUAUUUAAAAUUUACAAAAUUACUUACAUACAUACAUAUGCUGAUUAUCCAUUUGCGUGUCCAUUUUUGUUUGCUUAUUUUUAUUAAAACAGCUGUUUGACAGCAAAAAGCUUUUUACCUCACGUGGUGACUUUUUUAAGGUUUUUUCUUAUGAGGUUUGAGCAAAAUAGCCUCACAAAAUAUGCCUCACAAGAAAUCUCUCAAAUUUAUCCUCUCAACUCAGUUGAGAGGUUUUUUCAGAAUAGGGCUGUAAACUAAUAGCCAAUGAAAACUGAAGAGUAACGGGUAGUUUUACAAAAUAGUUCGCAAAGUAGAGCAACGUUUAGGGAAAGGCAGAGAUAUUUUUUUUUUACCCGAGGCUAGAACUAAACUAACCUAUCGGAUAACCCUGCAAGGCGGAGGCAACAGAUUGCACAAACACAUUGAACCAUUUUCAGCUGUUCACUAACACUGUUACAUUUUCUGCAAUUUUUAAUUGCAUGGGAGAAUACGUAAGUAAGAUAGAGAAAAACUAUCGACAUUCUAAACAUAUUGUAAUGGUAACUAGCGAGAAUAGGAGAGACGUAUACCCUAUUUUUCAAGAAAAAGAAAACGAAAAGCGCGGUUUCAAGAAUGAUAAAAACAAAGAUUGCGCAAUGACAAGUUCAAAUUUUGUUCGUUGUUCGUUGUGUUGCAGACAUACAAAAUCAGGAAUAUCAUCAAAAGUUAACAUCAAUAUAAAAAGAACACGAAUGCCGAAAAACGUCGCAGCGAACUGCUACGAAUAAGAACACAAAGCGAGUUGCUGAACACUGGAAACUCGGCGCGAUUCUCCUCUCCUCGUCGCCCCCUCGCCUAUAAACCAAGAGUUGCCGAGACAAAAGUUGCUGCGUGUAAUAAGCGAGUAAAUGUUAAUUUUCUUAAACCUAUGUGCUUCUGGGCGUAAUUUGUGCAUAAGUAUAUGCAAAUCAGUACCAUUGACUUCGUCAAAUACUGAUUGCAAGGCUCUCAUAUGCUCCAUCAACAUAUGUAUCUGUUGGAUAGAACCAUCAAAUAUUGUGGUACCGUCACCAUCGUCUGGCGGCCAUGCAGAUAUAAUCCAGAAGCUGGAUGCCAUUGAGACCCGUCUCACUGCAAUUGAAAAGUCCUAACAGACAAAAUGCCAGAAAAGGCCGAAGUGCAGGCGCAAAGUAAGUUAUUGCGCUAAUGCCGCGUCAUAGCGGCAAAGAUGCACCAUUCAAUUAGCCGAUUCACCGGUGACUUGGAGGACGAGCAUUACGUGGAGCUCGCUUCGAAACUGCCCAUGUCAUCGGAGGAGCACGAGCGCUUCGUGGAAGACAAACUUAAUCAAUAUAAGUUUUUUAUUAUUACUUAUGUAUAAUAGUUUUAAGUUGUAAAUAUUAGUUAUAAGUUAAACAUAUUAGCUUUAAGUUGUAAAUAUUAGUUUUGAGUUGUAUAAAUUAGUUUUAAGUUGCAUAUAUUACUUUUAAGUUGUAUAAAUUAGUUCUAAGAUGUACAUAUUAGUUUUAAGUUGAAGUUUCUAAUUUUACUUUUACAAAUUUGAAUUUUUAGAAUUAUAAUUUUUUUACUGAAAAAACUUAAUUUGUAUUAUUUUUCUGUAAUAAUAAUAUUAGUUUAAGUAAAUAUUUGAUUAUU
Bactrocera dorsalis (oriental fruit fly) is the source of this 6455-nucleotide long non-coding RNA. RefSeq lists it as uncharacterized. NCBI's taxonomy places the organism in Eukaryota, Metazoa, Arthropoda, Insecta, Diptera, Tephritidae. The record is from RefSeq and is a predicted model, not a curated record. The transcript has 6 exons.